UAAUACGGAGGGGGCUAGCGUUGUUCGGAAUUACUGGGCGUAAAGCGCGCGUAGGCGGCCUGCCAAGUCGGUCGUGAAAGCCCGGGGCUCAACCCCGGAGGUGCGUCCGAUACUGGCGGGCUCGAGACCGGGAGAGGAGAGUGGAAUUCCCAGUGUAGAGGUGAAAUUCGUAGAUAUUGGGAAGAACACCAGUGGCGAAGGCGGCUCUCUGGCCCGGCCCUGACGCUGAGGCGCGAAAGCGUGGGGAGCAAACAGGAUUAGAUACCCUGGUAGUCCACGCCGUAAACGAUGAGUGCUAGACGUCGGGGGGCAUGCCCUUCGGUGUCGCAGCUAACGCAUUAAGCACUCCGCCUGGGGAGUACGGUCGCAAGAUUA
This 375-nucleotide ribosomal RNA is filed under the name uncultured bacterium. RNAcentral describes it as "bacterial SSU rRNA". It matches the Rfam family "Bacterial small subunit ribosomal RNA", at positions 521 to 896 of the family's 1533-position model. The record is from RNAcentral.